AGGAUUCUCGCUAUUAAUGUUCUAGGAACAAGUCACACAAAGCAGAAGUCUUUAUAAAGGAUACUAUGGCUCAACUAUACAAUUGCAUUAGCCUCCUAUUUUCCAUGGCAUCUUCAGUCCUAUUCCAGGCUGCUUCUAAACUGCCACCAAUCAAGAUUCCUAAGCAAGAAAGCUAUUCCUGUCAUUCACUCCCAAUCUGAAAGCUUCUGCUGGUUGGCUUCUGCCAACAGGAUGAAAUCAAACUUUGUAGAUUGUGACCCCCUCUAGAGCCUUUCCAAAGUGUGGGCCACAGACCAGCAACUAGGCAUCCCCAGAAGCUUGUGCAAAUGCAGAAACAUAGGCCCCAUCCAGAUUCGAAUGGACAUGAAUCACCUGGGAAAUCUGUUAAAACCGCAUGUUUCUAGGUCUCAGAUUCCGAGCCUGCGUUUACUUAGCACGAACCUCUCCUGUCACUUUUGCGGGUGGUCCCUGUACCACACUUAGAAACACUGCUCUCGAGCCCAUAACAGGAAUAGUGCCUUAUUUGUCUUUGGCGAGCUAAUCUCCUGCUAUUAAAUACGCAACCAAUAAAGGUCAACUUAAGUUUUGUAAAAGGGCGCAGAGCACUGUCAAGGGAGCCCAAGGAGAGGAUGGGACCAGAACUCACAUAAUGAUGCCUUGACCUCUGAUGCAAUCAAAAAGGGCUGCAACCGAGUAAAGACUUCAGACUCGGAGAGAGUGUGGACAUCUGAGCAGCGGCUUAGUGGCAAGGGCAAAUGAAGAGUCAAGAAUCUGCUCUGAAUUCCGCUCCCCUAGGCCCGGCCCUUACCAUGCA
This is a long non-coding RNA of Balaenoptera acutorostrata (minke whale), 814 nucleotides long. RefSeq lists it as uncharacterized. The transcript is spliced from 3 exons. The record is from RefSeq and is a predicted model, not a curated record. NCBI's taxonomy places the organism in Eukaryota, Metazoa, Chordata, Mammalia, Artiodactyla, Balaenopteridae.